Molecule: RNA transcript, 1290 nt
Organism: Quercus robur (English oak)
Lineage: Eukaryota; Viridiplantae; Streptophyta; Magnoliopsida; Fagales; Fagaceae
Gene name: nuclear transcription factor Y subunit B-10-like
Exons: 5
Source: RefSeq, a predicted model, not a curated record
AAAAGAAAACCUCACUCCUCAAAGAAGAAAAAAAAAAACGGACGGUGCUGAUAAACCUCAUUCUCUCAUCUGAGUCGUCUCCUCUCUCCUUUCUUCUCCAGCGUCCGAUCCUCCAUUUCCCAACUCCAUCCAAAGCCUCUCCCUCUCUCGCGCCCAUUUUUCUUUAAUAAGGGUUGCGAUGGCGGAAGUUCCGACGAGUCCGAACGGAGGAGGCAGCUACGACGAGAGCGGCGAUCAGAGCCCGCGCUCCAACGUUCGCGAGCAGGACCGGUUUCUUCCGAUCGCGAACAUUAGCCGGAUCAUGAAGAAGGCGCUCCCCGCCAAUGGAAAGAUCGCCAAGGACGCUAAGGAAACCGUCCAAGAAUGCGUCUCUGAGUUCAUCAGCUUCAUCACCAGCGAGGCUAGUGAUAAGUGCCAGAGAGAGAAGAGGAAGACUAUUAACGGAGAUGAUUUGCUUUGGGCUAUGGCUACUCUAGGGUUUGAAGACUACAUCGAUCCACUCAAGAUUUACCUCGCCAGAUAUAGAGAGGUCAAAUUUCGUUGAAAAUUUGGGCUUUUUAACAAUGAAAAUGAAAUUAUUGUCCUUAGUUACCUUUUAAUCUUUUCUGAUAAUGAGUUUUGACUGACUGAGUUUACUUUGUUUCCUUGUUUUCUGAUUUUUUCUUGGUGCUGAUUUAGAUGGAGGUAUGUUGAAUUUAUCUUCUUUUUUGGUUUAUUUAUUUAUUAUUGAAGUGGCUGGUUAUUAAAAUUUCUAUUUUUUUAUGUGUUUGGGUUUAUUGUUUUCAUUGUUAUAAGAGUGUUUGGAUUUUGAAUAUUGGGGUUUUGCAAAUUAUGGGAUUUGAUAGGGUGACACCAAGGGGUCAGCAAAGGGUGGAGAAUCAUCUGCUAAGAAAGAUGUUCAGCCAAGUCCAAAUGCUCAGAUUGCUCAUCAAGGUUCUUUCUCGCAAGGUGUUAAUUACGCAACUUCUCAAUCUCAGGCACAACAUCUGAUGAUUCCUAUGCAAGGCUCAGAUUAGAUUUCUGCUCGAUCAUUACUAAUUCCACCAUUUGGCGUCCUGCUUGAGGAGAUCUUUUUCAGUGCCCACAACAAAUAUUUAUUCAUAUGUGAACACUGACAUUUUAGGGUCUUUUGGGCACUAUUGUCCAAUCCAUAUGUAUUCUAGGUAUGGUUUGUAUGUUUAGGGGUGUCUUCCGAUUAAAAUAUUUAUUUUAAGAAGACACUGUAAAUCUUGGGUCCUGUGAUUUGUUAACUGGGUGUUUUGGCAAUAUGUUAUGGAGCUGAUUAUGAAA